GUGAGUAGUUCAGAGUUUGAUCCUGGCUCAGGACGAACGCUGGCGGCGUGCCUAACACAUGCAAGUCGAACGGGGUAGAGAGCUUCGGUUUUCUACUUAGUGGCGAACGGGUGAGUAACGCGUGAGGAACCUGCCUUCAGUGGGGGACAACAGUUGGAAACGACUGCUAAUACCGCAUAACAUACACGGAUGGCAUCAUCUGUGUAUCAAAGCUUUAUGUGCUGAAAGAUGGCCUCGCGUCUGAUUAGCUAGUUGGUGAGGUAACGGCUCACCAAGGCGACGAUCAGUAGCCGGACUGAGAGGUUGACCGGCCACAUUGGGACUGAGACACGGCCCAG
This 338-nucleotide ribosomal RNA is filed under the name uncultured bacterium. RNAcentral describes it as "bacterial SSU rRNA". It matches the Rfam family "Bacterial small subunit ribosomal RNA", at positions 1 to 334 of the family's 1533-position model. The record is from RNAcentral.